Long non-coding RNA from Apis laboriosa (Himalayan honeybee), 2554 nucleotides. RefSeq lists it as uncharacterized. The transcript is spliced from 3 exons. Lineage: Eukaryota; Metazoa; Arthropoda; Insecta; Hymenoptera; Apidae. The record is from RefSeq and is a predicted model, not a curated record.
AAUCAUAUAAAUACGCGACUUCUCGUCUUCGAUGCCCAAAUUGUUUGUUUCGACUGCUACUUGGCAUUUUCUGGCGAUACUGUAUACCGGCUAGAGCUAAUUGGACGUGAAUUUAGUAUGAAUAGGUCGCCAUCUGGCGUGAAGAGUUUGUAAUUCAACUUUAAACUCGAUUUACUUCACGAUGUUGCUCUAUGGAAUAUGUAGAAAGGUACUUUGACCAAGAAAGUGGACAAAGAAGUGACAGAAUAAAGAGGAAUUUAUUAUUAUUAUUCGGGGAUUAAAUUAAAUCAACGCAUGUUUUCAUCAUUGGAAGGACGUUCAAUGAUAAAUGUCCUUCGAUCUGCCGUACAUUUUUAUCAAUUUCAUCCCUCUUUCUGCUUCGUCAUCUCUGCCGUCCCCGUUUUCUGCGUCCCUUAAUCUUUCCUACAUAAACUUUCUCAUUUCUAAUUUUUCGAUAUUUUCUCUAUAUAUUUAUUCUAGCCACUUCAAAAUUUUCUAAAAAUUUUUUUCUAACCUUUCGAAAUAUACGAUAAUUUUUUUUAUGAAACUGUAGAUAGAUCUUUUCACUUUAAAAUUUAUUUAAUUUUCAGUUUUAAAAUGUUGAAUUAAUUGGAAAUGGACUACAAACCCUGAACGAGAGAUGCGACCUUUGGUAUAAGAGAAUAAAGAUAAACGUGUAAUUUGUCUACGGAAAAGUGUACGUACGACUGUGAUUAUGAGUGUCAUCAAUCGUGAGAAAGUAUGUAUAUAUUCGCGACCUUUUACAUCGUCACCGUUAAUUCACAACGUCCUCGCAAUAAAUUAGGACGAAACUCACGGCCAGCUUACUAUGUACUUGCCUACGUGCCCGGUGAACUUCGCCAGAUCUAUCGAUGGAAAAUAAACGGCAUAUCCAUUAUGAUGUUAUUUUACGGUGUAAUUUUACGACGAUUUCGCUACGAUCAAAACUGGAACGAUCAUUUUUUUUUUUUUUAACAAAUAUAAUAAAAUUUCACGUUGCAAAAUUAUUCCUUAGACCAGUGUCUCUCAAUUCUUUUUUGAGUUGUGAUCUUUUUUUGUGAUAUAUUUCAAAUAAUUUUUGAUAUCAUUUGAUAUUUGAUUAUUUUUUUUCUAUAUAUAGGAUAUUCAUUAUAAAAUAUUCAAUUGAGAUCAACAUCAAGCAAUGAAGGUUGAGUCCACAGGUUAAGAGUCACUAUUAAAGAUGAGAAAAAAAUCAACGUUGUUUUAGAAUUAAAAUUAAUAAUUCGAACUCAAAACUAUUAUUCGUAACCAACAAGUUGAGAAGUACUGAUCUACACCGAAAUUUACCAAAAUCUCUUCUUCUUAUAGGGAAACAAAAAGAAAGCGAAGAUAUAUAAAUCUUCUAAUAUCCUCCAGAAGAUUCUGGAUGAAAAAUAGUCGACACGUGGUAGGAGACUGGUAUUAUUGGAAGACAGAGAAGAUAAGGAAAGAGGAAUAACAGUAGAAGAUAUAUAGGAUUCGCAGCUAAAUCGUCGAUGCUGUUACGUACGAAGCGCAUCGUUCACCGAGCUGGCAAAUGGACAACAUCUGCAAUGGACAGAUACGUGUUGUGAUACGUGUUGAAUACGUGUUGUGUCUUUAGUACUUAAGAGUGAGAUAGAGAUAGAGAGAAAGAUUUCAGGGAGGAAUUAACUGAAAUCAAGAGUAGGUGGGAGGUCGAAUAGCGUCCUCUCAUUAUGGCCGCCCCUUGGUCCCGGGAUCGUUCGACGAUCCUUGUACGUGUGUCGUCUCUUGUUCACGCUAAAGAUGGGUGUAUAACAAUCGUAUACAGUAUAUCUCCAAAUUUAGAUUCGAGGGUGACUUACUGGUGGAUUUUUCGAGCACUCUUUUGCGAACCUGUGCUAGACAUACCUCGUGGGGCACCUUUAAACAAAACGAUCAUUCGUUAUUGGGCUCGGUCGAGUCGAUCGGAUUCACUAGGAUCGAUAUAGGGUCGCUAAGUUCAUCGCUUAUGACGAAGAAAGGCGAAGGAAAUCUUUUUGAUUGGUUAUCGAAUUUCGUUGCUCGUUACUGGUCGCUGUUGAGCGUUAUUUAUAACUAUCUGUUGAUAAAUAUCGAUCGGCUUAUCUCUAAAGAAGAAAUUCAACAAGUCUGACAAUCUUUUAUUUAAAAAAAAAAAAGUACGCAAAAUCUUCUCAAAAAAAAGAAAAAGCGAAAAACGAUUUUACACACGCGUCAACUCAACGUAAAGAGAAUAGAUCUUGGUGAAAUGAGCAACAGACGUAAAGAGACUCACUGUUUCUGAUUACUUGUAUCAGUGAUAGGCACUCGUGUUCUAAUAAUAAGUACUCGUACUGACACACGAGGCGAGUCUGCGUGAAUCAGGCGACACCAACAACACGUAAAAACACACGAUAAAGAAACUCUGGAACCCGAGACGGUCCGCGUCUACACAACGACGAAUGCGGACGGUCCGGUAUCCGGUGGUCGACCAGCGUCGAGCAUGCACAAUGAUACGUCAUUUUCGUGCCUCGAGGCGUUCUGUCAGAGUCAUCUCGCCGGCAAUCGACGACUUCCGUCCGUCUAUAAUCGU